ACCUGGGUGGCUCUGUUGGUUGAGCAUCUGACUUCAGCUCAGGUCAUGAUCUUGGGGUUUGUGAGUUCGAGCCUCACAACAGGCU
RNAcentral lists this transfer RNA (85 nucleotides) under Felis catus (domestic cat). It matches the Rfam family "tRNA". Rfam says of the family: Transfer RNA (tRNA) molecules are approximately 80 nucleotides in length. The record is from Rfam by way of RNAcentral. Lineage: Eukaryota; Metazoa; Chordata; Mammalia; Carnivora; Felidae.